Long non-coding RNA from Passer domesticus (house sparrow), 2922 nucleotides. RefSeq lists it as uncharacterized. The transcript is spliced from 2 exons. The record is from RefSeq and is a predicted model, not a curated record. NCBI's taxonomy places the organism in Eukaryota, Metazoa, Chordata, Aves, Passeriformes, Passeridae.
CUCUCGAGGCCGAGGAACGCCCCGUGGCCGUGCCGUUUAACGGCGGAGCAGUUACACCUGGGACUGGGCCCACUGAAGGGUCUCGAGCACAAGUUGUAUGAGGAGCAGCUGAGGCUGCUGGGGUUGUUGGACCUGGAGGGAAGCAGGCUUAGGGGAGAUCUUAAUUAACACUCUCUACAACCACCUGAAAGGAGGUUGUGUCCGGGUUGGGUCAGACUCUGCUCCCAGUACAUCUCAUGGGACAGCAAGUCACAGGCUUAACCUGAAGAAGUGCUGAGGGGUCAUGGCCUGGAGGAAGAGAAGAGAAGAGAAGAGAAGAGAAGAGAAGAGAAGAGAAGAGAAGAGAAGAGAAGAGAAGAGAAGAGAAGAGAAGAGAAGAGAAGAGAGCUUAGGAAGUCCUGAGAGCAGGCAACUAAUUCUAGUAGUAGUACUCCUCCCAAGUCACCCAGCCCUAAGGAUCUUGGCUUUCCAGACAGCAAUACAUAUGUAAGAGAUGGGAUCCAGUUUCUAAAUAUAAAUUGAAGGCGUGUGUUCUGCAUAUAGACCACGUAAUGGAGGUGUUCCGUGUUUCAUGUUUCUGAUGGGAAAGAAACCCAGAUCCCAGAGGUGUAAAGGAUUCAUGUACAUACAGAUCUGUUAAAAAGGAUGGGGCUGUGAGGAAAACAAGGUCUACAGCCAGGGGAGGCACGAUCUGAAAGCCUUGUUGACAGAGCAGUUACCAGCAGUCUGGAUCACGGUGAGAAGGCUGCUUGCAACAUGCACUGCUAGAAGAGUAAGGCAGAUGGAAGAGGAUGCCAGUGAGCUCCCUGACCUGGCUGGGGUAUUCAAGAAAACAAAGUAUUAUUUGGAAGUUUAGGCCUAUUUAGAGUUUACUACCAACUGCAACAAGGACUUUAAUUGUAAGAUUUAGGAAGAAGAUGAAAGCAUUGCAAAUAGCUGAGGAAGUAAACUGUAUGUGUGUGAUAGGGCUCGGUGGAAAACUUGGGAGAGCACAGGCCUCAGACCAACCAGCAGGUUUUCUGUUUCUGGUGUGCUGACAAAAGUUGCACUUGUUAAUUUUUGGCAUGAAGUUUAUGGUUAAAAAUUAGUGCAUCUGAAGUUGUGCCUCAUAUUGAGGGAUGGCUUGCUGGCUGGAUUAGCACCCAAACAAACCUUUGAUGCUUUUGUCCAGGUGGUCUUUUUUGUACAGCCUGCUCCUAAUAACAAACUCUGCUGAAGACAACAGAGCUAAAAGAAGAAAAAUAUUUAGAAAGAGAAAGCUGCUUCUUCUUUUCCUAUAGACUUCAGAAUCAUAAUUCACUCUUUGAUAUUCUGCUUACUGGAAUAAUGGAUGCAGAACUGCAGAAAUGGACUUUAGAGAAAUAAAAAGUUUCUCUGAUGACUGAGAUAGCAAGAAAAAUGUAUUACCCAUAUGUGCUCACUAAUGCAGCUAUAUGAAAGCAUUCAAUGCAAAUUAAAAGGUUUCAUCAGAACAGAAAAGCUAACAGUUUAGAAGAUGGAAUACUUAAUAGGAAGUGGCAUGGGCCCAACCAUCAGUUGACAAAGGGAAUUUUGAAGUCACAAAGAUUUUAAAACAGAUUACCAUUUCAGGGUAGGAAAAAUCUUAAUCUAAAAAAAACCAAAACCAGAUGAGGUUAAAAUGCUGUUGGAACAGAAAACAUAGUGAGCAAAAUAGUGUUUCUGUGACUGCUCAGGGAGUGUGUGGGACGUUCUUGGGCUCCAAACUCAUGUAAUGAAGAAGCAAGAGUGUGUGGUACUAGUGCAGACUGAAAUAAAAGGAGUUCUGGGCCAGAUCUGAAAUGGAUUGCGUUACACUCAGGGAGGAAGGCUGGGGCCCCAGCUCCCUUGGUGGGCCAGGGGGUUGGUUCUGCAGGGGAUGCCUCAGUGCAGCACAACCUCACGGUAUAAAAGGAAGACUUCAGUUUUCUCCCUUUGCAGAGCAAUGCCUCUGGGAGCAGCCUGAGCAUAUUCCAUUUCUUUUAGGCCUAUGGAAUAGCCAUUAAAUGGUCAAUAUAAGCAUAAAAUACACCUGUCAUUUUUCAUGCUUGACUUUAAGGAAGAACCUCAGUAAAAAUCAUGCUUUGAGUUCCUAAAGAGGGAUAAAGAGAUUGGGGCUGUACUUAAAUUUCUGAUUCUCAUCUCCCUUGUGUAACCCUGCCCUGUUGGCUCAAACAUGCUAACAUAUAUUAGCCCAGACUAAAAGUGACACAGGCAAUCUAGUUUGGCAGGUUACCCUUUGCAAAUGCAAACAAGCCUUUACAAAAUGAUUUGGCGGUUAGAAUGCAAUUGGUGUAGUAUUGAAAAGAACAUCAUCAGCUUUUGAUGAAUUUUAAUUGUUACUGGAAAAUUACAUUCACAACCAAAGGAGAACAGUCAGAUUUUAUUUCCUGAGCUAAGGGCAAGGCUAUGCAAUUUAACUGUAAGUUAAUUACAAGAAGGAGUUCUCUUUCCUUCUUUCCUUCUUAACAUUUAUUAUAUUAUUUACUAUUAUAUUUUGUAUUGUUUACUAUUGUAUUUUAGAUGAUGCAUAAGAAACACAGAGUACAUUGCAUGUACUAUAAAAAGAAUCCUAAUGAAGGAUAGAUGGAAAAAGACAACAUUUGGAAGGAGCAAUAAAAAUAUUAAAGAACUAUCCAGCCAGUAUUUUAGUUUCUUCUAGCAAAGAGGCUGAAUACUCAGGAAACAACUCCCAACAGCCUAUCUUUUAUCCCCACAGUUCAUUUAGGAAGGACACAGUAGGAAGGAAUUAAAUCACACCUUAAAGUCAAAGAGUGAAUUAAAGCACUUCCAGAUUGUUCUGUUCUGUUCUCAUGAGAAUUCUCUCUUGUACACAAAUUCCUUUCCACAGCAGUUAAAGUGACCCAUCCUGUCUACAGUGUCUUUAAAUAGCAGCAUAUCAGAGAAAGAAAGGAGAAGAUGCAU